This 526-nucleotide ribosomal RNA is filed under the name uncultured bacterium. RNAcentral's name for it is "bacterial SSU rRNA". It matches the Rfam family "Bacterial small subunit ribosomal RNA", at positions 773 to 1310 of the family's 1533-position model. The record is from RNAcentral.
AGUGAAUAGAUACCCCGGUAGUCCUAGCUGUAAACUUUGGGUACUGGGUAUUGGGGGCAACAAACCCUCAGUGCCGAAAGCGAAACGCGUUAAAGUAUCCCGCCUGGGGACUACGGCCGCAAGGUUAAAACUCAAAGGAAUUGACGGGGACCCGCACAAGCAGCGGAGCGUGUGGUUUAAUUCGAUGUGACACGAAGAACCUUACCUGGGUUUGACAUGAAGGUAGUAGGGAAGCGAAAGCAGACCGACCCUUCGGGGAGCCUCCACAGGUGCUGCAUGGCUGUCGUCAGCUCGUGCCGUGAGGUGUUGGGUUAAGUCCCACAACGAGCGCAACCCCUGUUGCCAGUUAGAGAUUUCUGGCGAGACUGCCGGCAUAUAACCGGAGGAAGGUGGGGAUGACGUCAAGUCAGCAUGGCCUUUAUAUCCAGGGCUACACACACGCUACAAUGGCCGGUACAGAGGGAGCGAAGUCGCGAGGCGGAGCAAAUCUCAGAAAGCCGGUCUCAGUUCAGAUUGCAGGCUGCAA